This 257-nucleotide ribosomal RNA is filed under the name uncultured archaeon. RNAcentral describes it as "partial 16S ribosomal RNA". It matches the Rfam family "Bacterial small subunit ribosomal RNA", at positions 521 to 776 of the family's 1533-position model. The record is from RNAcentral.
UAAUACGUAGGGGGCAAGCGUUGUCCGGAUUUAUUGGGCGUAAAGAGCGUGUAGGCGGCCAUGCAGGUCAGCUGUGAAAACUCGAUGGCUCAACCUCGAGAUGUCGGUUGAAACCGUAUGGCUAGAGUCCGGAAGAGGAGAGUGGAAUUCCCGGUGUAGCGGUGAAAUGCGCAGAUAUCGGGAAGAACACCCGUGGCGAAGGCGGCUCUCUGGGACGGUACUGACGCUGAGACGCGAAAGCGUGGGGAGCGAACAGG